AUUGAACGCUGGCGGCAGGCCUAACACAUGCAAGUCGAACGGUAACAGGAGGAAGCUUGCUUCUUUGCUGACGAGUGGCGGACGGGUGAGUAAUGUCUGGGAAACUGCCUGAUGGAGGGGGAUAACUACUGGAAACGGUAGCUAAUACCGCAUAACGUCGCAAGACCAAAGAGGGGGACCUUCGGGCCUCUUGCCAUCGGGUGUGCCCAGAUGGGAUUAGCUAGUAGGUGGGGUAACGGCUCACCUAGGCGACGAUCCCUAGCUGGUCUGAGAGGAUGACCAGCCACACUGGAACUGAGACACGGUCCAGACUCCUACGGGAGGCAGCAGUGGGGAAUAUUGCACAAUGGGCGCAAGCCUGAUGCAGCCAUGCCGCGUGUAUGAAGAAGGCCUUCGGGUUGUAAAGUACUUUCAGCGGGGAGGAAGGGAGUAAAGUUAAUACCUUUGCUCAUUGACGUUACCCGCAGAAGAAGCACCGGCUAACUCCGUG
RNAcentral lists this ribosomal RNA (490 nucleotides) under uncultured bacterium. Its description in RNAcentral is "partial 16S ribosomal RNA". It matches the Rfam family "Bacterial small subunit ribosomal RNA", at positions 30 to 507 of the family's 1533-position model. The record is from RNAcentral.